UGAUGCUAGGCAUUGACUUCUCACUAGCUAUGAAAGUCCUAGUUAGAGAGAAGUCAAUGCAUGACAUCUU
Non-coding RNA from Macaca mulatta (Rhesus monkey), 70 nucleotides. Lineage: Eukaryota; Metazoa; Chordata; Mammalia; Primates; Cercopithecidae. The record is from Rfam.